UGGGGAAUCUUGCGCAAUGGGCGAAAGCCUGACGCAGCGACGCCGCGUGGGGGAUGAAGCUUCUCGGAGUGUAAACCCCUUUCGACCCGGACGAAACGCCCGCAAGGGCUUGACGGUACGGGUAUAAGAAGCCCCGGCUAACUACGUGCCAGCAGCCGCGGUAAGACGUAGGGGGCCAGCGUUGCUCGGAAUUACUGGGCGUAAAGGGUUCGUAGGCGGUGCGGCAAGUCGGAAGUGAAAUCUCUGGGCUUAACUCAGAGGCUGCUCCCGAAACUGCCGUGCUUGAGUGCGGGAGAGGCCAGUGGAAUUGCAGGUGUAGCGGUGAAAUGCGUAGAUAUCUGCAGGAACACCCGUGGCGAAGGCGGCUGGCUGGACCGCAACUGACGCUGAGGAACGAAAGCUAGGGGAGCAAACAGGAUUAGAUACCCCCGUAGUCC
RNAcentral lists this ribosomal RNA (437 nucleotides) under uncultured bacterium. RNAcentral's name for it is "bacterial SSU rRNA". It matches the Rfam family "Bacterial small subunit ribosomal RNA", at positions 355 to 796 of the family's 1533-position model. The record is from RNAcentral.